Molecule: long non-coding RNA, 1132 nt
Filed under: Salvia miltiorrhiza (redroot sage)
Lineage: Eukaryota; Viridiplantae; Streptophyta; Magnoliopsida; Lamiales; Lamiaceae
Description: long non-coding RNA (SMIL_LNC002511)
Source: RNAcentral
CGCCAUUAAUCAUAUAUAUAUUGUGGGAGUAAUAUGGAAAGGCAUUCAUAUAUUCGGAAUCAUACACAUCAGAGCUCGCCAUUGUAGGUCCCAACACAAUCAUUAAUAUACAAAUUCAAAAUUCCUUUUAUAAAAGAAAAUAGAAAAUUAUACAACUUGAAAAGGAGCUAAAAUAAUUAAAGAAAAGUAGAGUCUCAUGCCACUAUCACAUAGCUAGUGAGAGCAGCGUACAACUUCUCUUUCACUAUUUCCCCCUCUGUUAUUUUCAUAUAUGGAAUACAAAAGUAUACCAAUCACAGUAAGCAAAACAUUGAAAAACUUUAAUCUGAAGAAAUAUAUAUAUAUUGAAAUAAAAAUCCCAUCAUAUUGUGCAUUUGAUAAUUUAUUAGGCGCACUUGAAGCCCUUUGGAACCUUCUUGGAGCAAACAUUGAGAAGCAGACUAAGAGAAACGGGAACGUUAAGGUUGAUGCCCAAAACAUUGGCCUUGAUGGCGGUGCAGAGGCACACGGCCGCCUCGAGAUCGGCCAGCCCUUCGAGAAGGGUGCAGCAUGGAGUUUUUGGAGGAGUUCCAAUUGUGACACCAAUCAACCCACCAAGCAAAUCAGCACAUACACCUAGUUUUAGGGUAUCCCUAGGGCAAGUGGCCUUGCUCGGGGUGGCCGGGGGCGGAGGGCAUGGAGUCGGCUUAGGUGGUGGUGGCGGCGGCUUUGGUUUGGGAGUAGGGCAAGAGCCACAUGCACUAGAAAGAGUGAAGAAUACAAGGUUUAGCACUAAGAAAAGGGCAAUUGAUGUGGUUUUCUUGGAACCCAUUUUAUCUCUAGGCAAGGUUUUUUGGUAUAACAAGUUGCUUGGACAUUUCUGGGAUGUGUAAAUUUGAUGCAAGAAAUGGGGUUUUUAUAGGCUAGAGAAAGAUACUUAUUCUUAAGGUGAAUGAUGAAUAAAUUUUGAGAGUGGUGGAUUGUAGCUGGCACAACAUGUAGCAUACGUUUGGCAAAGUUUUGGAUGCAUGUGAAUAUAAGGAUUGCAAAUUGCCGUGUUCCUUUGCUCGAUUCCAUGACUAUGGCUUUGUCUAAAUUAUCUUUGCUUGAGACAUUUCAAUGUCUGCAAUACAGAGUAAAUUAAGCGUGUCCC